AGUUGUAUCCUGGCUCAGGAUGAACGCUAGCGGUAUGCCUAACACAUGCAAGUCGUACGAGGGUUUCAUACCCAAGUGGCGGACGGGUGAGUAACACGUGAGAAUUUGCCCUAAGGAGGGGGAUAACAACUGGAAACGGUUGCUAAAACCCCAUAUGCUUCCGAGUGAAAUAGAUUUAUCUGCCUUAGGAGAAGCUCGCGGCUGAUUAGCUAGUUGGUAAGGUAAUGGCUUACCAAGGCGACGAUCAGUAUCUGGUUUGAGAGGACGAUCAGACACACUGGAACUGAGACACGGUCCAGACUCCUACGGGAGGCAGCAGUGGGGAAUUUUCCGCAAUGGGCGAAAGCCUGACGGAGCAAUACCGCGUGAAGGAAGACGGCCUAUGGGUUGUAAACUUCUUUUUUCAGGGAGGAACUCAAUGACGUGUACCUGAAGAGUAAGCAUCGGCUAACUCCGUGCCAGCAGCCGCGGUAAGACGGAGGAUGCAAGUGUUAUCCGGAAUCACUGGGCGUAAAGCGUCUGUAGGUGGUUUAAUAAGUCGACUGUUAAAUCUUGAGGCUUAACCUCAAAAUCGCAUUCGAAACUAUUAGACUUGAGUAUAGUAGAGGUAAAGGGAAUUUCCAGUGGAGCGGUGAAAUGCGUAGAUAU
This 648-nucleotide ribosomal RNA is filed under the name uncultured bacterium. RNAcentral describes it as "bacterial SSU rRNA". It matches the Rfam family "Bacterial small subunit ribosomal RNA", at positions 10 to 697 of the family's 1533-position model. The record is from RNAcentral.